This 458-nucleotide ribosomal RNA is filed under the name uncultured bacterium. RNAcentral's name for it is "partial 16S ribosomal RNA". It matches the Rfam family "Bacterial small subunit ribosomal RNA", at positions 29 to 507 of the family's 1533-position model. The record is from RNAcentral.
AACGAACGCUGGCGGCAUGCCUAACACAUGCAAGUCGAACGAGACCUUCGGGUCUAGUGGCGCACGGGUGCGUAACGCGUGGGAACCUGCCCUUAGGUUCGGAAUAACUCCCCGAAAGGGGUGCUAAUACCGGAUAAUGUCUUCGGACCAAAGAUUUAUCGCCUUUGGAUGGGCCCGCGUUGGCUUAGCUAGUUGGUAGGGUAAAGGACUACCAAGGCGACGAUCCAUAGCUGGUCUGAGAGGAUGAUCAGCCACACUGGGACUGAGACACGGCCCAGACUGCGACGGGAGGCAGCGGCGGGGACGUUUGGAGAAGGGGCGAAGGGCUGAUAUUGCAAUGCGGCGUGUGUGAUGACCGCCUUCGGGUGGGAGAGCAAUGAUGGCGGGAAGGAAAAAGACUGUGCCAACCCGGCGGUACGAUGACGGUACCGGGAGAAUAAGCUCCGGCUAACUCCGUG